RNAcentral lists this unclassified non-coding RNA (253 nucleotides) under uncultured Cellvibrionales bacterium. RNAcentral's name for it is "contains 16S-23S intergenic spacer region". It matches the Rfam family "Bacterial small subunit ribosomal RNA", at positions 524 to 776 of the family's 1533-position model. The record is from RNAcentral. Lineage: Bacteria; Pseudomonadati; Pseudomonadota; Gammaproteobacteria; Cellvibrionales.
UACGGAGGGUGCGAGCGUUAAUCGGAAUUACUGGGCGUAAAGCGCGCGUAGGCGGCUAUCUAAGCUAGAUGUGAAAGCCCCGGGCUCAACCUGGGAACUGCAUUUAGAACUGGAUGGCUAGAGUACAGCAGAGGAGUGUGGAAUUUCAGGUGUAGCGGUGAAAUGCGUAGAGAUCUGAAGGAACAUCAGUGGCGAAGGCGACACUCUGGGUUGAUACUGACGCUGAGGUGCGAAAGCGUGGGGAGCAAACAGG